Etheostoma spectabile (orangethroat darter) is the source of this 105-nucleotide long non-coding RNA. RefSeq lists it as uncharacterized. The record is from RefSeq and is a predicted model, not a curated record. Lineage: Eukaryota; Metazoa; Chordata; Actinopteri; Perciformes; Percidae. The transcript is spliced from 3 exons.
CAUAUAGUUUACAUGUUUUUGAGCCCAAAUCCAAGGAAAUGUCGGACUUGGUUAAAUGUGAAAGAACAGUGGCAAAAAACGGCUAAUGAAUCCCUUUAUUCUCAU